AACACAACCCACAUUAGGAUUUCUGUUCCAAGCCAGCUGGCCUGGCUUUAUAAAUGCAGGACAUUUCUUAUGCUUUCUUCGUAAAUAUUGUUUUGUGAAAGUUUGACUUACCUGCCUGACAGCUGGAACUGCAGGGUGUAACUUCCUGGGGAAGCACAAGAUCGGCACCGUGCCAACUAAACAACUAACACCACGUACUGAAACCUCAAAGAGUCUCCUGGUGAAACCAAGACAAACCACAUGCUGGAUCUGAAAGAACUGAAGGAAUAUUGAACACAUGACUCAAGUGGCCCACGCUUGAACCUAAGACUUAAGAUGAGGAACUGAAAGCAACAAAAACAAGAUAGUUCCUUUGUCAAACCUUUACACUUAUAAUCGAUUUCACAUUUUUUAUAGGCUGGUCACUGGUGGGGAACUUUGGUGAGUGCACCAAAGUGUCCCAUUGUAUUAUUCUAAUUGCCUUGACUCCUCCUGAUAUGCUUAAAUCAUUGCAUGGUGAGGCAGUGAUUGAGAACAUUUAAUUUAUGUUUUCUGAGUAAGAUAAGUAAUAAAAAAUAAAACGUUUUUUUUUUUGUACAACUGCAAGUUC
Long non-coding RNA from Triplophysa rosa, 589 nucleotides. RefSeq lists it as uncharacterized. Lineage: Eukaryota; Metazoa; Chordata; Actinopteri; Cypriniformes; Nemacheilidae. The transcript is spliced from 3 exons. The record is from RefSeq and is a predicted model, not a curated record.